This 208-nucleotide non-coding RNA is filed under the name Eubacterium sp. RNAcentral describes it as "T-box sequence". It matches the Rfam family "T-box leader". From Rfam's summary of the family: Uncharged tRNA acts as the effector for transcription antitermination of genes in the T-box leader family. T-boxes are found upstream of many aminoacyl-tRNA synthetase genes and some amino acid biosynthetic genes usually in Gram-positive bacteria. The anticodon of a specific tRNA base pairs to a specifier sequence within the T-box motif, and the NCCA acceptor tail of the tRNA base pairs to a conserved bulge in the T-box antiterminator hairpin. The record is from RNAcentral. Lineage: Bacteria; Bacillati; Bacillota; Clostridia; Eubacteriales; Eubacteriaceae.
GUACAUGCGAUGAAGAAGGUAUAGUAAAAUACAGAAACUGUUUAUAGAGAACUGAUGGUUGGUGUAAAUCAGUACAGCCUGCUAUUUGAAAUGGAACUUUGGAGCAUAUUCCUUUAAGGAAUCGGUGUCACCGUUAUCGACAGAGUGAUUCAUCAUAAAGAAGAUGAAUAAGAAGGCUGGUACCACGCAUGCAUCAUGCGUCCUUAUU